UUGGGGUCUUGUUGUUGUUGUUGUUAGCGUGGAGCAAGAUACUUUGACCCU
Molecule: small RNA, 51 nt
Filed under: Arabidopsis thaliana (thale cress)
Lineage: Eukaryota; Viridiplantae; Streptophyta; Magnoliopsida; Brassicales; Brassicaceae
Description: ATSL170490
Source: RNAcentral